RNAcentral lists this ribosomal RNA (429 nucleotides) under Pseudomonadota bacterium. Its description in RNAcentral is "Proteobacteria bacterium partial 16S ribosomal RNA". It matches the Rfam family "Bacterial small subunit ribosomal RNA", at positions 355 to 776 of the family's 1533-position model. The record is from RNAcentral. Lineage: Bacteria; Pseudomonadati; Pseudomonadota.
UGGGGAAUAUUGGACAAUGGGCGAAAGCCUGAUCCAGCCAUGCCGCGUGUGUGAAGAAGGUCUUCGGAUUGUAAAGCACUUUAAGUUGGGAGGAAGGGCAGUAAGCGAAUACCUUGCUGUCUUGACGUUACCGACAGAAUAAGCACCGGCUAACUCUGUGCCAGCAGCCGCGGUAAUACAGUGGGCGCAAGCGUUAAUCGGAAUUACUGGGCGUAAAGCGCGCGUAGGUGGUUCGUUAAGUUGAAUGUGAAAGCCCCGGGCUCAACCUGGGAACUUGAUCUAGAACUGGCGAGCUAGGGUAGGGCAGAGGGUGGUGGAAUUUCCUGUGUAGCGGUGAAAUGCGUAGGUAUAGGAAGGAACACCCGUGGCGAAGGCGACCACCUGGGCUCAUACUGACACUGGGGUGCGAAAGCGUGGGGGGCAAACCGG